This 253-nucleotide ribosomal RNA is filed under the name uncultured bacterium. RNAcentral's name for it is "partial 16S ribosomal RNA". It matches the Rfam family "Bacterial small subunit ribosomal RNA", at positions 524 to 776 of the family's 1533-position model. The record is from RNAcentral.
UACGUAGGGGGCAAGCGUUGUCCGGAUUUAUUGGGCGUAAAGAGCGUGUAGGCGGCCAGAUAGGUCCGUUGUGAAAACUCGAGGCUCAACCUCGAGACGCCGAUGGAAACCAUUUGGCUAGGGUCCGGAAGAGGAGAGUGGAAUUCCUGGUGUAGCGGUGAAAUGCGCAGAUAUCAGGAAGAACACCCGUGGCGAAGGCGGCUCUCUGGGACGGUACUGACGCUGAGACGCGAAAGCGUGGGGAGCGAACAGG